UGGGGAAUAUUGGACAAUGGGGGCAACCCUGAUCCAGCAAUGCCGCGUGUGUGAAGAAGGCCUGCGGGUUGUAAAGCACUUUGAGCAGGAAAGAAGGGUAGGAUGUGAAUAGCAUUCUGCAUUGACGUUACCUGCAGAACAAGCACCGGCUAACUCCGUGCCAGCAGCCGCGGUAAUACGGAGGGUGCGAGCGUUAAUCGGAAUUACUGGGCGUAAAGCGCGCGUAGGUGGUUAGAUGAGUCUGAUGUGAAAGCCCUGGGCUUAACCUGGGAAUGGCAUGGGAUACUGUCUGACUAGAGUGUGGGAGAGGGGUGUGGAAUUUCCGGUGUAGCAGUGAAAUGCGUAGAGAUCGGAAGGAACACCAGUGGCGAAGGCGGCACCCUGGACCAACACUGACGCU
RNAcentral lists this ribosomal RNA (400 nucleotides) under uncultured bacterium. RNAcentral's name for it is "bacterial SSU rRNA". It matches the Rfam family "Bacterial small subunit ribosomal RNA", at positions 355 to 747 of the family's 1533-position model. The record is from RNAcentral.